AGAGUUUGAUCAUGGCUCAGGAUAAACGCUGGCGGCGCACAUAAGACAUGCAAGUCGAACGAACUUAACCAUUAGUUUACUAUUGGAGCGGUUAGUGGCGGACUGGUGAGUAACACGUAAGCAACCUGCCUAUCAGAGGGGAACAACAGUUAGAAAUGACUGCUAAUACCGCAUAUGCCUUAGAAUCACAUGGUUCAAAAGGGAAGGAGCAAUCCGCUGAUAGAUGGGCUUGCGUCUGAUUAGCUAGUUGGUGGGGUAACGGCCUACCAAGGCGACGAUCAGUAGCCGAACUGAGAGGUUGAACGGCCACAUUGGGACUGAGAGUACGGCCCAGACCUCCUACGGGAGGCA
Molecule: ribosomal RNA, 351 nt
Filed under: uncultured bacterium
Lineage: Bacteria
Description: bacterial SSU rRNA
Rfam family: Bacterial small subunit ribosomal RNA
Source: RNAcentral